This 440-nucleotide ribosomal RNA is filed under the name uncultured bacterium. RNAcentral describes it as "partial 16S ribosomal RNA". It matches the Rfam family "Bacterial small subunit ribosomal RNA", at positions 339 to 795 of the family's 1533-position model. The record is from RNAcentral.
CUACGGGACGCUCCAGUGGGGAAUAUUGCACAAUGGAGGAAACUCUGAUGCAGCAACGCCGCGUGGAGGAUGACACUUUUCGGAGCGUAAACUCCUUUUAUAUAGGAAGAAGAUGACGGUACUAUAUGAAUAAGCGCCGGCUAACUCCGUGCCAGCAGCCGCGGUGAAUACGGAGGGCGCAAGCGUUACUCGGAAUCACUGGGCGUAAAGAGCGUGUAGGCGGAUUAAAAAGUCGGAAGUGAAAUCCUAUAGCUUAACUAUAGAACUGCUUCUGAAACUCUUAAUCUAGAAUAUGGGAGAGGUAGAUGGAAUUUCUGGUGUAGGGGUAAAAUCCGUAGAGAUCAGAAGGAAUACCGAUUGCGAAGGCGAUCUACUAGAACAUUAUUGACGCUGAGACGCGAAAGCGUGGGGAGCAAACAGGAUUAGAUACCCGAGUAGUC